Molecule: transfer RNA, 72 nt
Filed under: Micromonas pusilla CCMP1545
Lineage: Eukaryota; Viridiplantae; Chlorophyta; Mamiellophyceae; Mamiellales; Mamiellaceae
Description: tRNA-Asn
Rfam family: tRNA
About the family: Transfer RNA (tRNA) molecules are approximately 80 nucleotides in length. Their secondary structure includes four short double-helical elements and three loops (D, anti-codon, and T loops).
Source: RNAcentral
UCUUCAGUAGCUCAGUGGUAGAGCACAUGGCUGUUAACCAUGGGGUCGUUGGUUCGAAACCAACCUGAGGAG